Molecule: ribosomal RNA, 880 nt
Filed under: uncultured Eubacterium sp.
Lineage: Bacteria; Bacillati; Bacillota; Clostridia; Eubacteriales; Eubacteriaceae
Description: partial 16S ribosomal RNA
Rfam family: Bacterial small subunit ribosomal RNA
Source: RNAcentral
CUGGCGGCGUGCCUAACACAUGCAAGUCGAGCGAUGAAGGGAGCUUGCUCCUGGAUUAGCGGCGCACGGGUGAGUAACGCGUGGAUAAUCUACCCACGAGAUCGGGAUACCAGCUGGAAACGGCUGACAAUACCGGGUAACAUACAAUUUUACUAUUGUGUCAAAGGCGGGGCAACCUGUCGCUUGUGGAUGAGUCCGCGUCUCAUUAGCUAGUUNNNAAGGUAAUGGCUUACCAAGGCAAUGAUGAGUAGCCGGCCUGAGAGGGNNAUCGGCCACACUGGGACUNNAACACGGCCCAGACUCCUACGGGAGGCAGCAGUGGGGAAUAUUGCGCAAUGGACGAAAGUCUGACGCAGCGACGCCGCGUGAGGGAUGAAGGCCUUCGGGUUGUAAACCUCUGUCAGGAGGGAAGAACCGCCAUGGUAGUAACUGCCCAUGGUCUGACGGUACCUCCAAAGGAAGCACCGGCUAACUCCGUGCCAGCAGCCGCGGUAGCAUGGCUGUCGUCAGCUCGUGCCGUGAGGUGUUGGGUUAAGUCCCGCAACGAGCGCAACCCCUAUUGUUAGUUGCCAGCAGGUGAAGCUGGGCACUCUAACGAGACUGCUGUGGUCAACACAGAGGAAGGUGGGGACGACGUCAANNNNNNNNNNNCCCUUACNNNNNGGGCUAGACACGUACUACAAUGGCGCACACAAAGGGCUGCGAAACNNNGAGGUCAAGCCAAUCCCAAAAAGUGCGUCUCAGUCCGGACUGCAGUCUGCAACUCGACUGCACGAAGUUGGAAUCGCUAGUAAUUCUGGAUCAGCAUGCCAGGGUGAAUACGUUCCCGGGCCUUGUACACACCGCCCGUCACACCACGAAAGUUGGUUUUACCCAAAAC